RNAcentral lists this ribosomal RNA (252 nucleotides) under uncultured bacterium. RNAcentral describes it as "partial 16S ribosomal RNA". It matches the Rfam family "Bacterial small subunit ribosomal RNA", at positions 524 to 776 of the family's 1533-position model. The record is from RNAcentral.
UACGUAGGUGGCGAGCGUUGUCCGGAAUCAUUGGGCGUAAAGGGAGCGCAGGCGGGCAUGUAAGUCUUUCUUAAAAGUUCGGGGCUCAACCCCGUGAUGGGAAAGAAACUAUGUGUCUUGAGUACAGGAGAGGAAAGCGGAAUUCCCAGUGUAGCGGUGAAAUGCGUAGAUAUUGGGAGGAACACCAGUGGCGAAGGCGGCUUUCUGGACUGCAACUGACGCUGAGGCUCGAAAGCCAGGGGAGCGAACGGG